This 492-nucleotide ribosomal RNA is filed under the name uncultured bacterium. Its description in RNAcentral is "partial 16S ribosomal RNA". It matches the Rfam family "Bacterial small subunit ribosomal RNA", at positions 28 to 507 of the family's 1533-position model. The record is from RNAcentral.
GAUGAACGCUAGCUACAGGCUUAACACAUGCAAGUCGAGGGGAAACGGCAUCGAAAGCUUGCUUUUGAUGGGCGUCGACCGGCGCACGGGUGAGUAACGCGUAUCCAACCUGCCCAUCACUUGGGAAUAACCUUGCGAAAGUAAGACUAAUGCCCAAUGACAUCCCACGAAGGCAUCCGAAUGGGAUUAAAGAUUUAUCGGUGAUGGAUGGGGAUGCGUCUGAUUAGCUUGUUGGCGGGGUGACGGCCCACCAAGGCAACGGUCAGUAGGGGUUCUGAGAGGAAGGUCCCCCACAUUGGAACUGAGACACGGUCCAAACUCCUACGGGAGGCAGCAGUGAGGAAUAUUGGUCAAUGGGCGAGAGCCUGAACCAGCCAAGUAGCGUGCAGGAUGACGGCCCUAUGGGUUGUAAACUGCUUUUAUAAGGGAAUAAAGUGGGUCACGUGUGACUUUUUGCAUGUACCUUAUGAAUAAGGACCGGCUAAUUCCGUG